CCGCUGGCGGUGUCUUCACACUUACAAGUCGAACGAGGUAGCAAUACCUAGUGGCGGACGGGUGAGUAACGGACUCUGCCCAAUGGUGGGGGAUAACUAACCGAAAGGUUAGCUAAUACCGCAUAUGCCGUGAGGUAAAAGGAGUAAUCCGCCCCUGUGAUGAGCCUGCUGUUCGAUUAGCUUGUUGGUAGGGUAAAAGCCUACCAAAGCUACGAUCGGUAGCUGGUCUGAGAGGAUGAUCAGCCACAAUGGGACUGAGACACGGCCCAUACUCCUACGGGAGGCAGCAGUGGGGAAUUUUACGCAAUGGGGGAAACCCUGACGUAUCGACACCGCGUGAGCGAAGAAGCCCUUUGGGGUGUAAAGCUCUGUCAGCAGGGACGAAAAAAAUGACGGUACCUGCAGAGGAAGCAUCGAGUACUACAUGCAGCAGCAGAGAAAGAAGUAAGAUGCAAGAGUAGUCCAGAUUCAUAGGACG
Molecule: ribosomal RNA, 478 nt
Filed under: uncultured bacterium
Lineage: Bacteria
Description: bacterial SSU rRNA
Rfam family: Bacterial small subunit ribosomal RNA
Source: RNAcentral